GACAAACAGAUCAAAUCAAGCUAUAUUGGUAUAAAAGGAAGUUAGAAAGUAAAAAAUGAUGAAAAAGAAAUUUCUCUUGUAGAGGUGAAAUUUGCACAAGAGAGGGUAGAUUAAUAUUUUUCUAUAUUUUGAUACUUCGAAACUGAAGGAAGAGACCGGGAUUAGAUACCCCGUUAUUUUCACUGUAAAACCUGGGCUACCUACCUGAGUAUUACGAGCGAAGAUUUUAGGUGUAUACCUACUGAAUUUUUAUUUAGCUUAAAACUCAAAAAACUUGGCGGUGCCUUAUUUCUUUCCAGGGGAAUCUGUCCUGUAAUCGAUAGUCCACGAUUAAGCUUACUUUUUUUUGUAAAUAUUUGUUUUCAGUUUGUAUACCGUCGUCGUCAGAUUACCUUCAAAAGGCUAGAAGUUGUCGGAAAAAUGAGAUUAGAUAGUAAAGCCAUAAAUCUUUGAUUAGUUUUGUGGGAUGAGUCUAGUGUGUUUUGAUGUCAGAUCAAGGUGCAGCUAAUAAAAAAGAAGAGAUGGGUUACAGUAUAAAUUUAAUUUGGAUUUCAGGCUGUAAAGCCUAAAUGAAAUUGGACUUGGAAGUAAUAUAAAAUUUAUACUAGAUUAGAUAGUUAAUGUGAAUAUUUGUACUAAGGCGCGU
This 646-nucleotide ribosomal RNA is filed under the name Microtis sp. 1 JEU-2016. RNAcentral describes it as "partial 12S ribosomal RNA". It matches the Rfam family "Bacterial small subunit ribosomal RNA", at positions 594 to 1384 of the family's 1533-position model. The record is from RNAcentral. Lineage: Eukaryota; Metazoa; Mollusca; Gastropoda; Trochida; Trochidae.